Acanthopagrus latus (yellowfin seabream) is the source of this 1122-nucleotide long non-coding RNA. RefSeq lists it as uncharacterized. The record is from RefSeq and is a predicted model, not a curated record. NCBI's taxonomy places the organism in Eukaryota, Metazoa, Chordata, Actinopteri, Spariformes, Sparidae. The transcript has 3 exons.
GUGGAUAGUUGUUGCCGGGAGACAGUAGCGGUCCACCUAACUGUCCUCCAUGUUACGUCGCAUUUGGAGAUAGUUGCUUCUCGGCUGCCAUGACGACAGUUAGCGAAACAAGCUACUGCUACGGCUUACAUCUCAGGGGGAGGACAAAGACAAGGAGAAGGAAUUGAAGAUGAACAAACUGAGAGGAGGUGUAAUCAGCAACACUUUAUUAGACGCCUAAGGCCACAGUUUUGGAUGAGGUGGGAGAUGCUGCACAGGUGGGAUGAAUAAAGGGCUCUGUGGCUGCAGUCUCAUGAUGUCAGGCACUGGAGGGAGAGAACAAGCGUCAUCAUCACAUGCACGCAGCAGUUACGUAAGCACGGCAUGACAGUGGUUCCUGUAAUUACAUAGACAAGCACACCGCACAACACAUGCACUUUUCUGACAUAUAUGAUGGUAUCAUUGAUGACAUACUCAUGCUAAAAAGUACACUUUGCUGCAAAAUUUGUGAUAGGUAGUUAUAUAUCAAAUGUCUCUUUGAUGCCCGGCUGCAGUCAAAUUAAACUGUGCUUGUCUUAAUUUCCUGCUUCACCACUCACUGAUGUUAGACGUUUUUCAAUCUCUUUAUCUUAAAUCAGGAGAAUUAUCUGCUUUUCCUCUUCAGGCGAGCUGCUGGGUUGCUCUAAUUAUAGAAUUAAAUUGGAAUCUCCCAGCAGGUUCUCAUCGACUGGGCCAUAUGGAUUUACACUGACGUGGUUGCUGAAAUGCUGACUGCAGAGCAGCUACAGACUGUCAGGAUGCCUUCAACACAACCAAAAGUAAGCAAAGUUAAACCGAACUUCCCUCCGACUGUGGGCUGACACUGCUCAGUCAACACAGCCUCAGGUUUACAUGGAGAUUAAGCAGGAUCAUGUUCCUAAUCUGACAGAGACGCGCCCCCCCAAUGCACAACAUGAAAAACGUACACUUGCUACAGGAGCGCAGACAAAAGCUUUAAAUGCAGCACACGUCAUUGUGUCAGCUCUCCAAACAAAAACACCUCCAGGGUCAGGACCAUAUUAAAUUAGAGUGCCAUUAUCAGCCAUUUAAUUCUGUUAAUGAAAGAGUUGCAGGCUUUGUUGAUGGACCCUGGAGACUGUGGCU